UGUCCUCUCUUUCUGUAUCUCCAGGGCCUU
RNAcentral lists this non-coding RNA (30 nucleotides) under Mus musculus (house mouse). Lineage: Eukaryota; Metazoa; Chordata; Mammalia; Rodentia; Muridae. The record is from RNAcentral.